GGGGUGCUCGAGUGGCGAACGGGUGAGUAACACGUGAGUAACCUGCCCUUGACUUUGGGAUAACUUCAGGAAACUGGGGCUAAUACCGGAUAGGAGCUCCUGCUGCAUGGUGGGGGUUGGAAAGUUUCGGCGGUUGGGGAUGGACUCGCGGCUUAUCAGCUUGUUGGUGGGGUAAUGGCCUACCAAGGCGGCGACGGGUAGCCGGCCUGAGAGGGUGGACGGCCACAUUGGGACUGAGAUACGGCCCAG
This 249-nucleotide ribosomal RNA is filed under the name uncultured Actinomycetales bacterium. RNAcentral describes it as "partial 16S ribosomal RNA". It matches the Rfam family "Bacterial small subunit ribosomal RNA", at positions 84 to 334 of the family's 1533-position model. Lineage: Bacteria; Bacillati; Actinomycetota; Actinomycetes; Actinomycetales. The record is from RNAcentral.